GCGGCUGCCCUCGGCCUCUUGCGUGCCUGCCGCCCGCGCGGCUCCGCCGUCCCCGCCCGCCACCGCUGGAGCGGCGCGGGGUGACAACCGGAGGGACGGUCCCGGGGUCUGUGGCCUCUGAACCCCAGGGUCCCCCAGGCAGAAACGCGUCCCUAGCCCUGGCCGAGGGAAACCCUCCUCAAGACAGAGCCGGGGCUCCCCUCAGGGCCCGCGCCGGCCUCUCCCGCUUUCUGUGACUGGAAAGGGUGGAACGGGCACCAAACUGGUGGCGAAGUGAAUCAUUGUGACCUUUAUUGAUUGCAUUUGUGCUGCAGAAGGAGCCAUACAGUGCUGACCAUCACUACCCUGCUAACACAGCUGCUGCGUAUGUGCACAAAGCCUGGUGGAUUUGGGGAAAAAGUGGUACCCUCCAUCUGCCUGAGAGUGGUGGGGCCUCAGAAGAGCUCUCAUGCUGCAUAAGGCAGAGCUCUGCAGCCAUUCCCAAGCGCUCUGAUGGGAUAAUCACCGCUGCCGACAGACUUCCUCCAUCCUUUUCUACUGCCUUUUUUGCUACAGCACAACCAGGCCUACAGGUCUUGGGUUCAGCCCUGAGACAAGUGUAGCAGAGCUUUAUCACAGCAACAGUUUUUCAAGGAAAUAAGCCAGUCAGUGCGUAUUUAUUGUCCAUAUAGCACUUGCUUUCUGGGGCUGUGUCCUGGUUUCAGCUGGGAUAGAGUUAAUUUUCUUUCUAGUAGCUGGUAUAGUGCUGUGUUUUGGGUUCA
Long non-coding RNA from Aquila chrysaetos chrysaetos, 761 nucleotides. RefSeq lists it as uncharacterized. The transcript has 3 exons. The record is from RefSeq and is a predicted model, not a curated record. Lineage: Eukaryota; Metazoa; Chordata; Aves; Accipitriformes; Accipitridae.